Molecule: ribosomal RNA, 492 nt
Filed under: uncultured bacterium
Lineage: Bacteria
Description: partial 16S ribosomal RNA
Rfam family: Bacterial small subunit ribosomal RNA
Source: RNAcentral
CGAACGCUGGCGGCGCGCUUAACACAUGCAAGUCGACCGGAAAGGCCUGCUUUCCCUUGUGGAUUGCGGGUACUCGAGUGGCGAACGGGUGAGUAACACGUGAGUGAUCUGCCCCCAACUUGGGUAUAAGCCUGGGAAACUGGGUCUAAUUCCCGAUAGGACUGCAGGGUGGUGCCUGUGGUGGAAAACGAUUUUCUAGUGGUUGGGGAUGAGCUCGCGGCCUAUCAGCUUGUUGGUGGGGUAAUGGCCUACCAAGGCGGCGACGGGUAGCCGGCCUGAGAGGGUGGACGGCCACAUUGGGACUGAGAUACGGCCCAGACUCCUACGGGAGGCAGCAGUGGGGAAUAUUGCGCAAUGGGCGGAAGCCUGAUGCAGCGACGCCGCGUGGGGGAUGACGGCCUUCGGGUUGUAAACUCCUUUCGACCGCGAGGAAGCCACCUGGUUGGAAGGGUGGUGACGGUAGUGGUAGAAGAAGCACCGGCUAACUACGUG